ACUCCAGCCUGAGCAACAGAGUAAAACCCUGUCUCUAAAAAUAAAUAGAUAGAUAGAGGACACUACAGUACCGUGUGAUGGGUUUAUCCUAGAGAAAUAAACAAAACACUGAAAAAGCACAAAAAGACUCUCCCUGGAGGAUUCCUGAAAGGCUUCCCAGUGAAGGGAGCAUUUGAGCCAGGUCUCAGAGGAUGAAUAGGAGUUCAUCAAAGAGAAAAGUGGAGAAGAGCAUUCCAAAAAGAAUAACAUGUGCCAAGACAAAGAAGUAGGAAGUGAUGGGAAGGAGACGGGGCUGAAAAGGAAGACUAGCACCAGAUGGCUGCCAUAAGGAGCUAUCUUACAGAGGUAGGGACCCAAGGGGGGUUUGAAGUCCUCUCCAACUGCACUAACACCCAACUCCAGCCCACAGGAUGUGUCUGCACCACUACAGGAAUUUUCUAGUGCUCAGCAGCCCCAGCCACCCCACCUACAGAUGGUAUCCCCCCUGAACACCCUAGGAAGCCAGAAGCCACUAACAGAUGGGGAAUGAAUCAGAAAGGAAGCAGAGAGAGAAAAGGAAGAAGUUCUGCCAGUUGGUGCAAAAAAAAAAAAAAAAAGUCUGGGAUGAAUCUAGAUACAGUCAGCUAACUUUCCUGAAGAAGUGGUAGACAAUUUUCCAGCCGACGUAUCCACUGGCUUUUAUUAUGGUUGGGCCAGUGCUGGAAGAGGAGAUGUCCACAAGAUGGUGGUGAGCAUAGGAUGGAACCAGUACUACAAGAACACAAAAAAGUCCAUGGCAAGGUCCCCCUUGACCCCCGAGAGUAACAGAAGGUCCCGCAGGCCGGGACAAGUGGUGCCCAACGUGGGGCCCAAGGUACGGACCUUUGUCAGGUGACGCCGCGGUGUGCUCUUCCGCCGAAGGAAACCCUACAGAGACCCUCAUUCUGCCGCUCACAGAGUUGACGGUCUGGUGAGUAAAUU
Long non-coding RNA from Microcebus murinus (gray mouse lemur), 960 nucleotides. RefSeq lists it as uncharacterized. NCBI's taxonomy places the organism in Eukaryota, Metazoa, Chordata, Mammalia, Primates, Cheirogaleidae. The record is from RefSeq and is a predicted model, not a curated record.